Molecule: ribosomal RNA, 440 nt
Filed under: uncultured bacterium
Lineage: Bacteria
Description: partial 16S ribosomal RNA
Rfam family: Bacterial small subunit ribosomal RNA
Source: RNAcentral
CUACGGGCCGCUGCAGUAGGGAAUAUUGCACAAUGGGCGAAAGCCUGAUGCAGCAACGCCGCGUGUGCGAUGACGGCCUUCGGGUUGUAAAGCACUUUUCGGGGAGAUGAGAAAGGACAGUAUCCCCGGAAUAAGGCUCGGCUAACUACGUGCCAGCAGCCGCGGGAAAACGUAGGAGUCAAGCGUUAUCCGAAUUUACUGGGCGUAAAGCGCGUGCAGGCGGUUUGGAAAGUUGGAUGUAAAAGCUCCUGGCUCAACUGGGAGAGGACGUUCAAAACUACCAGACUAGAGGACAGUAGAGGGAGGUGGAAUUCCCGGUGUAGUGGUGAAAUGCGUAGAUAUCGGGAGGAACACCAGUGGCGAAGGCGGCCUCCUGGGCCGUUCCUGACGCUCAGACGCGAAAGCUAGGGUAGCAAACGGGAUUAGAUACCCUGGUAGUC